This is a small nuclear RNA of Syzygium oleosum, 166 nucleotides long. RefSeq annotates it as U12 minor spliceosomal RNA. Lineage: Eukaryota; Viridiplantae; Streptophyta; Magnoliopsida; Myrtales; Myrtaceae. The record is from RefSeq and is a predicted model, not a curated record. The transcript has a single exon.
GUGCCUUAAACUAAUGAGUAAGGAAUACAAAGCGAUCAGUGAAAGCUGGUCGCAGCGCCUCAUGUGAAACCAGAGUUUCUUGGCGCAAAAAUUUGUGAAGGGGUUAUAGGCUGGCUGAGCGUUGACGCUGCUUACUUUUGCAGAACUCGCUCAUGCAGGCCUCCCA